RNAcentral lists this ribosomal RNA (253 nucleotides) under uncultured bacterium. RNAcentral's name for it is "partial 16S ribosomal RNA". It matches the Rfam family "Bacterial small subunit ribosomal RNA", at positions 524 to 776 of the family's 1533-position model. The record is from RNAcentral.
UACGUAGGGGGCAAGCGUUAUCCGGAUUUACUGGGUGUAAAGGGAGCGUAGACGGUAUGGCAAGUCUGAAGUGAAAGCCCAGGGCUUAACCCUGGGACUGCUUUGGAAACUGUUAGACUAGAGUGCUGGAGAGGUAAGUGGAAUUCCUAGUGUAGCGGUGAAAUGCGUAGAUAUUAGGAGGAACACCAGUGGCGAAGGCGGCUUGCUGGACAGUAACUGACGUUGAGGCUCGAAAGCGUGGGGAGCAAACAGG